GUUGUUUGGUUUCUUUCUUGAUCCUGUUCGAUCCUGUGUCAUACUGUUGUCGGUUAUUGUGUGCGCGGUAAAAUUUCAGGAAAGCGGAGAAGAAACCACGCUGGCUUGGCAAGGGGUAGCAACCAUACGUUACCAACUUCCACAUGAACUGCGAACCCAUAACGAAAUUGAACUGCUUCGUUUUAUUUUGCAACGGUCAACAACACGAAACCAUGCCCUUACUGUCGGAGGCUUUGCCCAUAUUUCUCGAUCGUUUGCGAUAACGGUUGUUGUUGGAUACGCCGGGUUUAUAUGCUUCUUAAUCGAGCGAGUGGAAAAUGUCUGUCGUGGCGAACCUCGCAGUCAGCUUUUGGCUAACCACUCUACAGUGUC
Long non-coding RNA from Paramacrobiotus metropolitanus, 372 nucleotides. RefSeq lists it as uncharacterized. Lineage: Eukaryota; Metazoa; Tardigrada; Eutardigrada; Parachela; Macrobiotidae. The record is from RefSeq and is a predicted model, not a curated record. The transcript has 4 exons.